UGUUUUGGGGUGUGGUGCAGAGCAAGAUGAAGAAAGAAAUGGAGUUUCGUACUACCUGUGGGUAACGGGUGAUGAUGGGAACUGGAGAUUGGCAUCUGGCCAUGGAAUUAAUACAGGUGGAGGUGGCGAUAAUACAGAAGAAGAAGAAUAUGUGGAUGACAGAGAAGAAGAUGAGGAGCUCAAGUCUAUGGACGGGGAACCAUGUUACAGUCUCUUUUUCGUUCCAGCCAAAGGAAAUUUUAAUGAAGGGCUCUUAAUUAGCCGUUCCCUUCCUUAGUGGAGGCUGCUUAUUUUAAUAUGGUAAGAACUCCUAUUCAAUUGUGAUUAAAACAAAUGGGUAUACCAUAGCUAGUUUUCUUAUGUCGGUGCUUCGGAACUUUACCUUGGUGGAGCCACUGACCCUCGCCCGGCCUGUCAAUAUUCAUGGAAGCUGCAAAUUCGAGUUAGUUUUGACAUGUUUGCUAUUUCACAGUUGACUGAAAAAAUUGGCUUCAUUAAUUUUCUGCUCCUUUUCAUUUGCUGCUGAGAUUCAUGCUGAAAUCUCCGUGCGGGUAGGUAUCACAUUCCAGUAGACCCAUACCAUCUUUUUCGCAUGAGAUUCUUGUACACUGUUAGAUUUUGAGGUGCACAGUUCACUAGCAUUACCCUGUCAAGCAUAUCAUUGCACCCACAUUUGCAUGACAUGUCAUUUACACUAGGACUUAUAUGAAUUCUUGUUUUUAUACACAUGCGCUACAGAUUUCACCUCUAGUAUUUUAACUUCCUACUUUGAUGGAUAUGGUAAAAUGCAACAAUGCUCUAGCAAUAGCCCAAAUGGAUUCAGCUAUUCUUGCUUAGCAAAGUAAGACUAGGGAAAGGUACAAACAUGUUUCUAUUUUAGGAGGAAAAUAAUUCAAAAUAUGACAAUAUACAGUUGAAGAUAUCAAUUCCAAUAAAUUACUGGCUAGAGACCUUUGAGAAAUCCAGCACAAUUUAUGACGACAUUGCCUUGUUAAUUUUUCUCUGCUCAACUCGACUGGUAGGUCUCAGCAAUUUUUUUUGCUUAUGUGCUACUGCAAGGUGAUGCCAAAUCUGGUGAAUUUUGGGCUUUUUUGAUGGCUUUGGUCCUCUUCCGAAGAAGUUACGUUUGGAGGAGGCUAGAAAAGACAUGGAAGCUACAUCGAAAUUGCAAUGGAUGAUAUGUAGCACCCAGUAGAAGUAGAGGACAUGACAGGAGGAGGGAACAAGUAGAUUCGUUUAUCAUUGAUGUUAUGUGUGAUCAACAAAAACUUGUGCUUCUCAUCCAAUCUUUGUCGCACUAUGUUGAUGUGUGAUUAUGCACUUGUUGGGCCAUUUUGCUGUGCACCUCCACUUGUAGAACUAUUUUGUUGGGCACUUGUAGGACCUUGAACCUUUAUGUGUAGAGGAGUCGAUGGAUGAUGUAUUGUAAUUCAUGUGAUGUGUUACUGAAAUGAAAUAUAUACAACUAAUUUGCAAU
Hordeum vulgare subsp. vulgare (domesticated barley) is the source of this 1477-nucleotide long non-coding RNA. RefSeq lists it as uncharacterized. Lineage: Eukaryota; Viridiplantae; Streptophyta; Magnoliopsida; Poales; Poaceae. The record is from RefSeq and is a predicted model, not a curated record. The transcript has 3 exons.